Molecule: long non-coding RNA, 2922 nt
Filed under: Sus scrofa (pig)
Lineage: Eukaryota; Metazoa; Chordata; Mammalia; Artiodactyla; Suidae
Description: lncRNA (ENSSSCG00015075434.1)
Source: RNAcentral
ACCAGGAAUCUAACAUUGUCUCUUGGCUCAGCUGGGUUUUCAUCUCAUCAAGCUCCCCAUUGGGUGGUGGAGAUCCAGGAACUAUAAGAUCCCUUUUUCCUACUCAGUAGUGACUUGGAAAGAAAUAUCCAACCACCCACAAGAUUUCACCAGAAGUCCCAGUACUGAAUUUCAUUGGCUCAACUAGGAGCACAUGUUAUAACCAAGCCAAUCUCCUGGCCUGGGGAGUGGACUGCUGUCAUUGGCCGGGUUGGAGAAUGUGGGAGGAGUCAGCACAAAUUUAUCUAAUCUUAUUCUGGGCCAUUAGGAGUUUCCAAACCUUGGUAGGCUGCAUUUCAGGUGUCUGAGAUGGGGAGGCCAUGGAAAAAGAGAAAGGUCAGAAGUUACAUUUGAGAAGUUCAGUUUAGGGCCAAGUGAGUUUGAGAUGCCUCCCAGGCAUCACGUGGUGCCACUGAGUCAUCAACUGGAUAUGAGACAUGCAUUUACCUGAUGUCUUGGUGGCUCAUUUUUUUAAAUUGAUUUUAUGGAAAUGUAAUUUCAUUUCCUUUUGAAGGGUACAAUUGAGAAGUCUAAUUAUUAUGAGGCAUAAUCUCUCUAUUUGGAGUUAAUUGACUACUUUUUUUUUCCCUUUCAUUGUCUUUCUGAGAAGUUCUGCCAGUUUAUCUCAAUUCAACUUUUCAAAAGAUAAAUUCUGCCAGAUAAUCUAUAGAUAGCAUUCUGUUUUUCUUCUGGGUUCUUUUUCCUAGGAAAUUCCUCCAGCCACCCUCCCAGGAUUUUCUUCCUCUCUCUCCUAUGUUGAGAUCCCUGUUUCCCUCCAUCUCAGGUCUUAUGUUUUCUUUGUUUACCCAUCAAUUUUUGCAGAGCCCAUCCUGCAGUAACUUUCUGAGAACAUAGGAGCAUGAGCAAUAACAUUUUUGAGCCCUUCCAUGCUUUGAAAUGCUUUACUUGCUCCUCACACUUGAUCAAUAUUUUGGCUGGAAAUAGUAGUCUGGAUUGAAAAUCCUUUUCUGUCAGAAUUUUGAUUCCAUAAACCCCUUGUCUCUUUGGGGUUUUUCUUUGUUUGCUUGUUUUUAUUUUUUGUUUCUGUUUUUGCGUGUUUAGGGUUGCACCUUAGGCAUUUGGAUGUUCCCAGGCUAGGGGGGUGGAAUAGGAGCUGCAGCUGCCGGCCUGUGACUACAGCCAUAGUGACACAGGAUCCAAGUCCCAUGUGCAACCUACACAAGAAGCUUGUGACAAUACUGAAUCCAUAACCCACUGAGAGAGGCCAGGGAUUGAACCUGCAUCCUCAUGGACACCACUCAGGUUUGUAACCCACUGAGCCACAACAGGAACUCCCUAAAUCUUUUUUUAAUGAGGAUAUAAGACAGUAACUCCGGAUUUGUUUUUUUAAACUUUACUGGGGUGUCAUUGACAUGCAACACAGUGCACAUCCGCCAGAUGUUCCAGUUCCUCUGCAUCUUCACCAGCACUUGAUAAAGUCAGUCUUUUUCAUUUUGGCUGUUCUGGCUGAUUUGCAGUGGUAUCUGAUUGUUAUGCUAGUUUGCAUUUUCAUGAAGGCUAGUUGUGAGAAUCUUUUCAUGUGCUUGUUUGAAAUUCAUUUGUCUUUUGUGAAGAGACUGUACAAUUUUUUUUUUUUUUUUUUUUUUUGGCUAAUGCAUGCAGUGACUUGGUGGAGGAUCACAGUUCGCAGAUCAGGGAUAGAGCCCAGGCCUCAGUGAUGAAACUCCCAAACUAGACUACUAGGAAACUUGUGAGAUCAUACAAAUCUUUUGCUUGUAUAUUUUUCUUUUCUUUUUAAGAAUGCACCUCUGGCAUAUGGAAGUUCCCAGGCUAGGGGUAGAAUUGGAGCUGCAGCUGAGGCCUUGCCACAGCCUCGGCAACACCAGAAACUUAACUUCACCACUGGGUAAGGCCAGGGAUCUAAACUGCAUCUUCUCUGACAUCAUGUCGGGUUCUUAACCUGUUGAGCCACAACAGGAACACAGUGCCUGUGUUUUUACUAUGUUGCUUUCUAUGCUUUAUUUUUAUUUUUCAAUUUUUUUUUGGUCUUUUCUAGGGUCACACCUGCAGCAUAUGUAGGUUCCCAGGCUAGGGGUCUAAUCGGAGCUGUAGCUGCCGGCCUACGCCAGAGCCACAGCAACGCAGGAUCCAAGCCUCAUUUGCGACCUAUACCUCAGCUCACAGCAACACUGGAUCCUUAACCUGCUAAGCGAGGCCAGGGAUCAAACCUGAAACCUCAUGGUACCUAGUCAGAUUCGUUAACCACUGAGCCAGACAGGAACUCCUCUAUGCUUUAUUAUUAUUAUUAUUUAUUUAUUUAUUUUUUUGUGUGCCCACUGCAGAAGUUCCCAGACUAGGGAUCAAACCUUCACUACAGCAGUGACAACACUAGGUCAUUUGACUGCUAGGCAACCAGGGAACUCUUCUGAAUUUUAAAUGUAUGAUGACUUUGAAAAUUACCACUGGGAAUAACAAUAGCUCCCUUGUUGUAUGACCUCUAUUUCUUAUUUUUUAGAUCCCUGUAUGUAAGAUGGGUGUAAUGAUUGUAUCUAAUUUAUAGGGUUUUGCUGAGGGUUAAAUGAUUUAGACAGAUAAAGUCAGAAGGGCAAAGCUUGAGGAAUUGAUCUAGCACCUUGGAGAGCCAGCUGUGGAGACUCAGAAAGGGCUGGGAAGGGGAGUCCCUGUCAUGGCCCAGUGGAAAUGAAUCUGACUAGCAUCCAUGAGGACACAGGUUCAAUCCCUGGCCUCACUCAGUGGGUUAAGGAUCCCGUGUUGCUGUGAGUUGUGGUAUAGGUCAAAGAGGCACCUUGGAUCUGGUGUUGCUGUGGCUGUGGUGUAGGCCAGCGGCAAUAGCUCCAGUUCGACCCCUAGCCUGGGAACCUCCAUAUGCUGAGGGUACAGCUCUAAAAAUACAAAAAAAAA